GACGAACGCUGGCGGCGUGCUUAACACAUGCAAGUCGAACGGAAAGGCCCUGCUUGCCGGGUACUCGAGUGGCGAACGGGUGAGUAACACGUGGGUGAUCUGCCCUGCACUUCGGGAUACGCCUGGGAAACUGGGUCUAAUACCCGACAGGAGCCAUUUUUAGUGUGAUGGUUGGAAAGUUUUUUCGGUUUCGGAUGAGCCCGCGUCCUAUCAGCUGGUUGGUGGGGUAAUGGCCUACCCACGCGGCGUCGGGUAGCCGGCCGGAGAGGGUGGACGGGCAUCUUGAUACUGAGCCACGGCCCGGCCCCCUACUGGAGGCAGGCGUGGGGAAUAUUGCACAAUGGGCGCAAGCCUGAUGCAGCGACGCCGCGUGGGGGAGUACGGCCUUCGGGUUGUAAGCCCCUUUCGCUAGGGACGAAGCUUUUUGUGACGGUACCUAGAUAAGAAGCCCCGGCUAACUACGUG
RNAcentral lists this ribosomal RNA (465 nucleotides) under uncultured bacterium. RNAcentral describes it as "partial 16S ribosomal RNA". It matches the Rfam family "Bacterial small subunit ribosomal RNA", at positions 28 to 507 of the family's 1533-position model. The record is from RNAcentral.